UACGAAGGGGGCUAGCGUUGCUCGGAAUCACUGGGCGUAAAGCGCACGUAGGCGGAUUGUUAAGUCAGGGGUGAAAUCCUGGAGCUCAACUCCAGAACUGCCUUUGAUACUGAAGAUCUUGAGUUCGGGAGAGGUGAGUGGAACUGCGAGUGUAGAGGUGAAAUUCGUAGAUAUUCGCAAGAACACCAGUGGCGGAGGCGGCUCACUGGCCCGAUACUGACGCUGAGGCACGAAAGCGUGGGGAGCAAACAGG
This 253-nucleotide ribosomal RNA is filed under the name uncultured bacterium. Its description in RNAcentral is "partial 16S ribosomal RNA". It matches the Rfam family "Bacterial small subunit ribosomal RNA", at positions 524 to 776 of the family's 1533-position model. The record is from RNAcentral.